This 840-nucleotide ribosomal RNA is filed under the name uncultured archaeon. Its description in RNAcentral is "bacterial SSU rRNA". It matches the Rfam family "Archaeal small subunit ribosomal RNA", at positions 52 to 878 of the family's 1478-position model. The record is from RNAcentral.
UGCGAGUUGUAUGAGAUACCUAGAUUUCCCAUAGCAAACUGCUUAGUAACACAUGAUCAACUUACCCUAUGGAGAAAUAUAACCUCGGGAAACUGAGGAUAAUACUUCAUAGUUGAAUAGGCUUGGAAAAGUUUUUCAAUGAAAGGGAUAAGAAAAAUGGUUCUUAUCUGCCAUAGGAUAGGAUCGUGCUCGAUUAUGGUUGUUGGUGAGGUAAAGGCUCACCAAGCCGAUAAUCGAUAGGGGCCGUGAGAGCGGGAGCCCCAAGAUGGGUACUGAGACAGCGACCCAGGCCUUACGAGGCGCAGCAGGUACGAAACCUCCGCAAUACACGAAAGUGUGACGGGGUUACCCAAAGUGUUCUUAUAGAACUGUGGCAGGUGAGUAAUGUCCCCUGCUAGAAAGGAGAGGGCAAGGCUGGUGCCAGCCGCCGCGGUAAAACCAGCUCUUCAAGUGGUCGGGAUAAUUAUUGGGCUUAAAGUGUCCGUAGCCGGUUUAGUAAGUUCCUGGUAAAAUCAGGUAGCUUAACUAUCUGUAUGCUAGGAAUACUGCUAUACUAGAGGGCGGGAGAGGUCUGAGGUACUACAGGGGUAGGGGUGAAAUCUUAUAAUCCUUGUAGGACCACCAGUGGCGAAGGCGUCAGACUGGAACGCGCCUGACGGUGAGGGACGAAAGCCAGGGGAGCGAACCGGAUUAGAUACCCGGGUAGUCCUGGCCGCAAACGAUGCAUACUAGGUGAUGGUACGGCCAUGAGCCGUGUCAGUGCCGUAGGGAAACCGUUAAGUGUGCCGCCUGGGAAGUACGGUCGCAAGGCUAAAACUUAAAGGAAUUGGCGGGGGAGCA